GUGGCGAGCGUUGUCCGGAUUUACUGGGCGUAAAGAGCGCGCAGGCGGUCGUUCAAGUCGCGUGUGAAAGCCCCCGGCUCAACUGGGGAGGGUCACGCGAUACUGAUCGACUCGAAGGCAGGAGAGGGUAGUGGAAUUCCCGGUGUAGUGGUGAAAUGCGUAGAUAUCGGGAGGAACACCAGUGGCGAAGGCGACUACCUGGCCUGUUCUUGACGCUGAGGCGCGAAAGCUAGGGGAGCAAACGGGAUUAGAUACCCCGGUAGUCCUAGCCGUAAACGAUGGACACUAGGUGUUGGUGGUAUCAACCCCGCCAGUGCCGAAGCUAACGCAUUAAGUGUCCCGCCUGGGGAGUACGGCCGCAAGGCUA
This 367-nucleotide ribosomal RNA is filed under the name uncultured bacterium. Its description in RNAcentral is "bacterial SSU rRNA". It matches the Rfam family "Bacterial small subunit ribosomal RNA", at positions 531 to 896 of the family's 1533-position model. The record is from RNAcentral.